RNA transcript from Theobroma umbraticum, 1762 nucleotides. It is a transcript of the gene named DNA double-strand break repair protein, with no coding region annotated. The record is from RefSeq and is a predicted model, not a curated record. NCBI's taxonomy places the organism in Eukaryota, Viridiplantae, Streptophyta, Magnoliopsida, Malvales, Malvaceae.
UCUAGCAAAAAGGCCACCUCGGCAAUCUCUCAGCUAACAGCUUCUGUUCAUUCAUCAAAACCAUUUUUCUCCCGAAAAAAAGAAAUUUUUUCCUCUAAUAUUUUAAUCAAGUCCCCGCUGACAAACCCUAAUAUAUCCUCCAUUUUCUUCACAGACAGAACGGUGUAGAAGCAGAGAAAAGAACUGAAGAUUUUUUUCUCAAUCAGACCGCGUUAAUAGUUGAAUUGUGCUCAAAAUGGCUGGGAGAAACCGCAUUCCUCGUGAAGCCUUCAAUGACCGGCGUGGAUUCCCUCCCGAAAGACCUUUCCUUCGUGGUCUUCCUUUGCCUCAGCCACCUCCUCAUCCUGUGUUGUUGGAGGAAGAACUUGAAAUGCAGCAUGCAGAAAUUCGGAGGCUUUUGACUGAUAACCGCAGGCUGGUAGAAGAUCGAAUAGCUAUACAACAAGAGCUUGGUGCUGCAAAGGAGGAAAUUCAUCGUUUGAAUCUUGUCAUUGGUGAAAUUCGUGCAGAACAAGAAGUGCACUCAAGGGAACUUAUUGAGAAAGGCUUGAAACUGGAGGCAGAUAUCCGUGCAACUGAGCCAUUGAAAAAAGAGUCUGUCCAACUACGUACAGAAGUUCAGAAACUGAAAAAUGUUAGGCAGGAGCUAACUGGCCAAGUUCAGACCCUCAAGCAAGAUGUUGCCAGGUUGCAAGCUGAUAAUCAACAAAUACCUAUUCUAAGGGCAGAAAUUGAUGGCCUGCACCAGGAGUUGAUGCAUGCAAGGACUGCUAUUGAUUAUGAAAAGAAGGCAAACAUUGAGCUGGUGGAACAGAGACAAGCAAUGGAGAAGAACAUGGUCUCUAUGGCACGUGAAGUUGAAAAGCUACGUGCAGAACUUGCUAGCGUUGAUGGUAGACCAUGGGCUGCUGGUGGACCAUAUGGGAUGAAAUUCAACAGUUCUGACAGUGCUUUUCCUGCUCCAUAUGAAGGAUAUGGCAUUCAUCUGGGUGUUGCUGACAAGGGUCCUUUCUAUGGUCCCGGUCCUGCUUCUUGGGAGAAGCCUCGCAUGACUCGUCGCUAGGAGAGUUAUUGCUUGCUGGAAGGAAGGAAGCGUUGCUACUUUCAGCUGCCACUUGUGAAGUGCAAAUGUUGAUCAGCAUGGAGUUCAUCAUCUAUGUGUGCAUGCCACAUCAGUAACUUUUAUCUAAUUACAUUAUGGGAAGCUGUUAUACUUCAUGCAGAAAGGUAAAGAAAGAAGAUCAGGUAUAUCUUAAAUGAGAUUGAGGAAAUAUUUACAUGUGCUUCCAGACGAAUUGGAAGGAGGAAAAGGAUAACUCUGUCUGCAUGUGUGUGUUCAUUGGUCUACAUGCAUUACAAUCUUAAAGGAGAUGCAUGGAACUUUGUUGUAUGAUUUUGUUUACUUUUUCCGUGCAGUGAGAGAUGGGGAGGGGAUAUUGGAAUUCAUAGGCUACACAAUGACAGCCAGCACUUUCAGUUCUGUAGCCUAUGGCCUCCUUCCCCAUUCCUUUUUGGGGUCUCCUGCAAUCUCUAGUGAUGGCAGGACUAGAUCGCAAUUCCUUGGUAUGAUCAAGCAUGGACAUUGUCAUAUAAGCUUGUUUCACAGCCAGCAUUGCCAUCAAUGUUUUAUAGUCUUAGUUAUCUCUGGUUAGGUGGAAUGUCCAACUAGCCUAGAACUUGCUAACAUCUCCUAACCUUCUUUUCUCCUUUUGGGUGGUUCAUUUGUGAAACAAUCUUUGAGAAGGAUCUUUCUAUUUUGAAA